CACUGAGGACCCUUUGUCUCCCCACCUUUCAGGUUUCUUCUCCUGGUGUCCCUGCACCAGAAGGGUCCUGUCUUCCUGGGAGGAGGCAGCUCUGGAGACUUUGAAAGAACAGUACUCUGGAGCCCAUGUGAGCUAUGUGCAGAAGAUUGCAUGUCUCCUGAAAGGAACUGCUCUUUCAAGAGGGUAACUUGUAAAGAAGAUCCAAAGGCUAUUUCAUUUACUGUCCCAUAACAGCUUUAUAAUCAGAAGACCCACUAGAAACAUAUGUGAGAAUCAUCAGAAAGAUCUCCGAGGUCUAUUCAGAGAGAAGAAUGAAUCACACAAGUUCUCUUCCAAGUUUUCAACUCUUCUGUCAAGCAUCAGCAUCCCUCCUUGGCUUCUCUUGUUAAGAGAGACAGGCAGACCCAGCGUGCUUGGCUCUGUUCUGCUCCUCUGGCUCAUCUUUCCUGGUAUUUUCUUGAACCAUGAACUGAACUGCAAAUAAUAGGCUUGCUUAUAUAAAAGGCUGCCUCUUUACAUGAGUAGAUGCCGUGCAUUCGGGCUCUUUGAAACUGGCUCUGUGGCAUUUCGUAUACUUUGUUCUCUGGUCAGAAGUUCAGGAUGUUCCACUUCUAAAUCUGGUUUCCGGCUAAAAUAUAAAUGCGUCGCAUUGACUGAUCAUCCUUGGAAGUUUAUCUGCUUUUAGAGUUAAAGAUGUGAAUGAUUAAUGCUUCUGCUGUGCUUGGCUAUGAAUCAUUAUAUGAUGCCCUGAUUUUUCUUUCUAAAUCUCUGUAGCUCUAGCAAAUAAGGUGUUUAAGGGAGAGAGGG
Passer montanus (Eurasian tree sparrow) is the source of this 807-nucleotide long non-coding RNA. RefSeq lists it as uncharacterized. NCBI's taxonomy places the organism in Eukaryota, Metazoa, Chordata, Aves, Passeriformes, Passeridae. The record is from RefSeq and is a predicted model, not a curated record. The transcript has 4 exons.